This 400-nucleotide ribosomal RNA is filed under the name uncultured bacterium. RNAcentral describes it as "bacterial SSU rRNA". It matches the Rfam family "Bacterial small subunit ribosomal RNA", at positions 32 to 424 of the family's 1533-position model. The record is from RNAcentral.
AAUCAACGCUGGCGGCGUGCCUCAGACAUGCAAGUCGAACGAUUAAAGCUCUCUUCGGAGAGUGCAUAAAGUGGCGCACGGGUGAGUAACACGUAAGUAAUCUACCUUCGAGUGGGGAAUAACGUCCGGAAACGGACGCUAAUACCGCAUAAUGCAGCGGCAUCGCAAGAUGACAGUUGUUAAAGAUUUAUCGCUUGGAGAGGAGCUUGCGGCAGAUUAGCUAGUUGGUAAGGUAAUGGCUUACCAAGGCUACGAUCUGUAACCGCUCUAAGAGGACGGUCGGUCACACUGACACUGAAUAACGGGUCAGACUCCUACGGGAGGCAGCAGUCGGGAAUUUUGGGCAAUGGGCGAAAGCCUGACCCAGCAACGCCGCGUGAAGGAUGAAGUAUUUCGGUAU